CAUCAUCACAGCAGGGGUGAUGAUGACAGUGACCAUAGCGGGAGCUCAGGAGCCAGCCUGGGGCUACGCCAAGGGAAACCUCUCAUUGCUGAGCCAAGACAGGGAUGAUGGUCUAUGAUGGACAGCAAUGUUGUAUAUACAACUUCUGAAUAGAAUUUCAUCCAUCAAAUACCCACUGAGGAGUACUGCAUGCCAGACACCAUGCUAGGCUUGAACGGAGAUGGAAGGUGAAUAGGACCCCGGCCUACUUGGGGGAGAGCCACAUAAAGAGAUCAUAAAUCAUAAUGAUGCCCUGAGGAAGCUGAGGCCUGAGCCAGCAGUCUUCAGGAAGAUCUCAUCCACGCUGGCUGCAAAGGCACUGCCCCACAUACCUAAGGAGAAAGGCAAGGUCCUGGGCCCUCACAACUCCAGCCCAUCUCAGGUCCUGGCCCAGUCCCUGCCCUGUCCCCAGCCCUCCAGCCCAGACUCACCUUGCAGGUAGCAGAUCCGGGGCUCAGGCCGGGGCUGCAGCAGAUGCCCCAUGAAGAACUCAGAGCCAAAGAGCUCAGUGGGAACAUAAGCACCAUACUUGGGCAAGCCGACCUCAUGGGGGGUGAACUCACACCACUCUGGGGGACCAGAGUAAAGGGGAAUGUUACCAGGGCCUUUCUACCAGGAUACCAGGGUUCCCCUCACACCUGAGUGCCUGAGCAGGAAUCAGACUUGCCGAGAGCAGGAGGCAGCAACCCCAUUGUGCUCCAAGGCUCCCGUCUGUACAUUACUAGCACUGGCCUCUCACACCCUCCCACCAACCACCACCUCCACCUGUUUCCCAGGUCCCCACAUCCACACCGAGGCACCUGCAAAGUCUUCCCCGUUGAUGUUGGUGCGGACAUUAAUGCUGGCAUAGAUAGGGUAAGGGUUCUGGCCCUGGCUGAUGGCCUCUUGCUGGUCAGACAGUCUGGCGGGGUUUUCCUAGUGGGCAUGAAGGGAGGUAUUUGGCUUUUGGGGGAAUCCCCUUACCCCAUGGGGAUGGCCCCAUGGCCUGAUACCCUGCAGGGGAUGGCGUGCCCACCAGAGGCUGCAGCUGCCAAGGCCAGUACUCUAGAGACAGCUAAGGGCCUUUAAGCAGCACAAGUAAGGCCACUGUGAGUUUUGUGCAAUUCCGGGGACACUGGGACUCCUCUCCUUACUUCUUUCCUGUUGAAGAAAGCAGAUUAGAGCCCAGGGGAAUCAGUGGACAUUUGUUAAAGGAAAAACUGAAAAUCCAGUUUACUUUCUUUAAAAGACAAAUCAUUCAAUGGGAUGCCUGGGUGGCUCAGCAGUUGAGUGUCUGCCUUCAGCUCAGGGUGCGAUCCCGGAG
Canis lupus familiaris (dog) is the source of this 1342-nucleotide long non-coding RNA. RefSeq lists it as uncharacterized. Lineage: Eukaryota; Metazoa; Chordata; Mammalia; Carnivora; Canidae. The record is from RefSeq and is a predicted model, not a curated record. The transcript has 3 exons.